UUUUUACUGUUAUUAGGCACUAGCAGAGUACACUUGUGUACAUUUACCUGAAGUGAGAAUUACAGCUGCUGCUGUGUAGCUGUACAUUGAGCCUCCUAAUGUGUCUUCCAGCAAACGAUUGAAAAUGAAGGAUGGGAACGGUCUUGGGGUCCUCCAUUGAGAGGGGCCGCACACCCACAAUGCCAGCCGACCUCAGUGGGAAUGGCAAAUGGGCAGCACCAGCCACUUAAGAACAAGACAUGAAGAUUUAAUGAAUAAAAACAAGUAUAUUAUAAGCUCCUUGGGGCACGGACAGUCUUUCCGUUCCAUGUUUGUACAGCGCCUAGCACAGUGGGGGGUUCUGGCCCAUGACUGGGGCUCCGAGGUGCUAUUACAAUACAAAUAAUAGAAUGUUGUGUGGAGUCUCCAAAAUGAAAGUAAAUGGCUAUAAUUAUAACGUGGGUCACAAUCAUUCCCCCAUCAAAAGAAUGAAACAAGUGAGUUAGCACCAUGAUAAAUGAUCAAAGCCUUGGAUUGACCUGCAAAGGUAGUAGAAUAGUGAUGAGGUUGACUGGACCUGUCAUUAUUAUACUGAGGUAGAUAACUGAGUAUCAGUGCAACCUUGUAGGGGUUGAGAUAAACCCUGUCCACUCCAGUGGACAUUUAGGAUAUGAUUUUCCAAGAUGCCUAAGAGAUCUGGAUUCCAAUUUAUUUAAUUUAAAUAGGAAUUGGGCAUCCAAAUCUCUUACGCAGCUUUGAAAAUCUCAGCCUUAAAUCACCCAAGGCCCUGUUCAUAAGAGACUGGAGUUAUCCUGCUGUCUUGAUCAAAUAUUUCUCUCCCUGCUUGUUGUUCAGGAUUGCAGGUGUUCAUUAGCAACAGCCCUUUAUCCUUUAGAGGUGGCUAUAUAUCAGGAGUGCUGUAUGAAUAUGAUCUGUGAAGCCCUUUGGGAUCCUUGCAGAUGAAAGGCAACAGACAAGUGUACAAUAACAAGAUCAGGACUUUUUUGCCUGUUUGAUCGGAGUGAAAUCUGGACAUCUCUUUCCACAGUAGUUUUGGAGCAUACAAUAAAGUAUCAUUUUUAUUGUGGUACACUAGCACGUACUCUGA
Malaclemys terrapin pileata is the source of this 1087-nucleotide long non-coding RNA. RefSeq lists it as uncharacterized. Lineage: Eukaryota; Metazoa; Chordata; Testudines; Emydidae. The record is from RefSeq and is a predicted model, not a curated record. The transcript is spliced from 2 exons.